GACUCUCGGCAACGGAUAUCUCGGCUCUUGCAUCGAUGAAGAACGUAGCGAAAUGCGAUACUUGGUGUGAAUUGCAGAAUCCCGUGAACCAUCGAGUCUUUGAACGCAAGUUGCGCCCGAGACCUUCUGGUCGAGGGCACGUCUGCCUGGGCGUCA
This 156-nucleotide ribosomal RNA is filed under the name Leptopyrum fumarioides. RNAcentral describes it as "5.8S ribosomal RNA". It matches the Rfam family "5.8S ribosomal RNA". Rfam says of the family: 5.8S ribosomal RNA (5.8S rRNA) is a component of the large subunit of the eukaryotic ribosome. It is transcribed by RNA polymerase I as part of the 45S precursor that also contains 18S and 28S rRNA. The record is from RNAcentral. Lineage: Eukaryota; Viridiplantae; Streptophyta; Magnoliopsida; Ranunculales; Ranunculaceae.